UUAAGUUAUUAAGGGCGCACGGUGGAUGCCUUGGCACUAGAAGCCGAUGAAGGACGUUACUAACGACGAUAUGCUUUGGGGAGCUGUAAGUAAGCUUUGAUCCAGAGAUUUCCGAAUGGGGAAACCCAGCAUGAGUUAUGUCAUGUUAUCGAUAUGUGAAUACAUAGCAUAUCAGAAGGCACACCCGGAGAACUGAAACAUCUUAGUACCCGGAGGAAGAGAAAGAAAAUUCGAUUCCCUUAGUAGCGGCGAGCGAAACGGGAAGAGCCCAAACCAACAAGCUUGCUUGUUGGGGUUGUAGGACACUCUAUACGGAGUUACAAAGGACGACAUUAGACGAAUCAUCUGGAAAGAUGAAUCAAAGAAGGUAAUAAUCCUGUAGUCGAAAAUGUUGUCUCUCUUGAGUGGAUCCUGAGUACGACGGAGCACGUGAAAUUCCGUCGGAAUCUGGGAGGACCAUCUCCUAAGGCUAAAUACUCUCUAGUGACCGAUAGUGAACCAGUACCGUGAGGGAAAGGUGAAAAGCACCCCGGAAGGGGAGUGAAAUAGAACCUGAAACCGUGUGCUUACAAGUAGUCAGAGCCCGUUAAUGGGUGAUGGCGUGCCUUUUGUAGAAUGAACCGGCGAGUUACGAUUUGAUGCAAGGUUAAGCAGUAAAUGUGGAGCCGUAGCGAAAGCGAGUCUGAAUAGGGCGUUUAGUAUUUGGUCGUAGACCCGAAACCAGGUGAUCUACCCUUGGUCAGGUUGAAGUUCAGGUAACACUGAAUGGAGGACCGAACCGACUUACGUUGAAAAGUGAGCGGAUGAACUGAGGGUAGCGGAGAAAUUCCAAUCGAACCUGGAGAUAGCUGGUUCUCUCCGAAAUAGCUUUAGGGCUAGCCUCAAGUGAUGAUUAUUGGAGGUAGAGCACUGUUUGGACGAGGGGCCCCUCUCGGGUUACCGAAUUCAGACAAACUCCGAAUGCCAAUUAAUUUAACUUGGGAGUCAGAACAUGGGUGAUAAGGUCCGUGUUCGAAAGGGAAACAGCCCAGACCACCAGCUAAGGUCCCAAAAUAUAUGUUAAGUGGAAAAGGAUGUGGCGUUGCCCAGACAACUAGGAUGUUGGCUUAGAAGCAGCCAUCAUUUAAAGAGUGCGUAAUAGCUCACUAGUCGAGUGACACUGCGCCGAAAAUGUACCGGGGCUAAACAUAUUACCGAAGCUGUGGAUUGUCCUUUGGACAAUGGUAGGAGAGCGUUCUAAGGGCGUUGAAGCAUGAUCGUAAGGACAUGUGGAGCGCUUAGAAGUGAGAAUGCCGGUGUGAGUAGCGAAAGACGGGUGAGAAUCCCGUCCACCGAUUGACUAAGGUUUCCAGAGGAAGGCUCGUCCGCUCUGGGUUAGUCGGGUCCUAAGCUGAGGCCGACAGGCGUAGGCGAUGGAUAACAGGUUGAUAUUCCUGUACCACCUAUAAUCGUUUUAAUCGAUGGGGGGACGCAGUAGGAUAGGCGAAGCGUGCGAUUGGAUUGCACGUCUAAGCAGUAAGGCUGAGCUGUGAUGGGGAGAAGACAUUGUGUCUUCGAGUCGUUGAUUUCACACUGCCGAGAAAAGCCUCUAGAUAGAAAAUAGGUGCCCGUACCGCAAACCGACACAGGUAGUCAAGAUGAGAAUUCUAAGGUGAGCGAGCGAACUCUCGUUAAGGAACUCGGCAAAAUGACCCCGUAACUUCGGGAGAAGGGGUGCUCUUUAGGGUUAACGCCCAGAAGAGCCGCAGUGAAUAGGCCCAAGCGACUGUUUAUCAAAAACACAGGUCUCUGCUAAACCGUAAGGUGAUGUAUAGGGGCUGACGCCUGCCCGGUGCUGGAAGGUUAAGAGGAGUGGUUAGCUUCUGCGAAGCUACGAAUCGAAGCCCCAGUAAACGGCGGCCGUAACUAUAACGGUCCUAAGGUAGCGAAAUUCCUUGUCGGGUAAGUUCCGACCCGCACGAAAGGCGUAACGAUUUGGGCACUGUCUCAACGAGAGACUCGGUGAAAUCAUAGUACCUGUGAAGAUGCAGGUUACCCGCGACAGGACGGAAAGACCCCGUGGAGCUUUACUGUAGCCUGAUAUUGAAAUUCGGCACAGCUUGUACAGGAUAGGUAGGAGCCUUUGAAACGUGAGCGCUAGCUUACGUGGAGGCGCUGGUGGGAUACUACCCUAGCUGUGUUGGCUUUCUAACCCGCACCACUUAUCGUGGUGGGAGACAGUGUCAGGCGGGCAGUUUGACUGGGGCGGUCGCCUCCUAAAAGGUAACGGAGGCGCUCAAAGGUUCCCUCAGAAUGGUUGGAAAUCAUUCAUAGAGUGUAAAGGCAUAAGGGAGCUUGACUGCGAGACCUACAAGUCGAGCAGGGUCGAAAGACGGACUUAGUGAUCCGGUGGUUCCGCAUGGAAGGGCCAUCGCUCAACGGAUAAAAGCUACCCCGGGGAUAACAGGCUUAUCUCCCCCAAGAGUUCACAUCGACGGGGAGGUUUGGCACCUCGAUGUCGGCUCAUCGCAUCCUGGGGCUGUAGUCGGUCCCAAGGGUUGGGCUGUUCGCCCAUUAAAGCGGUACGCGAGCUGGGUUCAGAACGUCGUGAGACAGUUCGGUCCCUAUCCGUCGUGGGCGUAGGAAAUUUGAGAGGAGCUGUCCUUAGUACGAGAGGACCGGGAUGGACAUACCUCUGGUGUACCAGUUGUCGUGCCAACGGCAUAGCUGGGUAGCUAUGUGUGGACGGGAUAAGUGCUGAAAGCAUCUAAGCAUGAAGCCCCCCUCAAGAUGAGAUUUCCCAACUUCGGUUAUAAGAUCCCUCAAAGAUGAUGAGGUUAAUAGGUUCGAGGUGGAAGCAUGGUGACAUGUGGAGCUGACGAAUACUAAUCGAUCGAAGACUUAAUCAA
This 2888-nucleotide ribosomal RNA is filed under the name Staphylococcus aureus. RNAcentral describes it as "23S ribosomal RNA". It matches the Rfam family "Bacterial large subunit ribosomal RNA". Lineage: Bacteria; Bacillati; Bacillota; Bacilli; Caryophanales; Staphylococcaceae. The record is from RNAcentral.